GGGGUCGACUGGUUUUGACAGCAAGACUAAUGAAAUGGUAAGCACGUCGAGCGCUGGGUUACAGCUCGUAAAUAUCAUAAUUCACACUUUUUAAACGGCGAAGAUAACUACGCCCUAGCUGCAUAACCCGAAUAAAGUAAGGUAAUGCCUCGGCCCGCAAGGCGGGCAAGCAGGAUGUCUCUCAACGGCCUUGGUUUGCGGCAUUUGAUAUAGAGACAUCGUAAAAGUAAACCUAGAAACCAUAGGAUCCUGAUGUGGUUUUGAAGCUCAAUUGGGAAUAAGGAUAAAUUUGGUAGUUUUUGACCGGCUUUAUCACGAAAAGUAAAUAAAAACUAAGCGUGUAGAAAGCUUUUUUAUUACUUGUUUGGACGAGGGUUCGAAUCCCUCCGACUCCACUU
This is a non-coding RNA of Flavobacteriaceae bacterium CG2_30_34_30, 398 nucleotides long. The record is from Rfam. Lineage: Bacteria; Pseudomonadati; Bacteroidota; Flavobacteriia; Flavobacteriales; Flavobacteriaceae.